This 387-nucleotide ribosomal RNA is filed under the name uncultured bacterium. RNAcentral describes it as "bacterial SSU rRNA". It matches the Rfam family "Bacterial small subunit ribosomal RNA", at positions 29 to 416 of the family's 1533-position model. The record is from RNAcentral.
AUUAAACGCUGGCGGCAUGCCUUACACAUGCAAGUCGAACGGCAGCACGGGGGCAACCCUGGUGGCGAGUGGCGAACGGGUGAGUAAAGCAUCGGAACGUGCCCUGGAGUGGGGGGAUAACGUAGCGAAAGUUACGCUAAUACCGCAUAUUCUGUGAGCAGGAAAGCAGGGGAUCGCAAGACCUUGCGCUCUGGGAGCGGCCGAUGUCGGAUUAGCUAGUUGGUGGGGUAAAGGCCUACCAAGGCGACGAUCCGUAGCGGGUCUGAGAGGAUGAUCCGCCACACUGGGACUGAGACACGGCCCAGACUCCUACGGGAGGCAGCAGUGGGGAAUUUUGGACAAUGGGCGAAAGCCUGAUCCAGCCAUGCCGCGUGAGUGAAGAAGGCC